AGCGAACGCUGGCGGCAGGCCUAACACAUGCAAGUCGAACGAAGCCUUCGGGCUUAGUGGCGGACGGGUGAGUAACACGUGGGAACGUACCUUUUGGUUCGGAAUAACGCAGAGAAAUUUGCGCUAAUACCGAAUGAGCCCUUAGGGGGAAAGAUUUAUCGCCGAAAGAUCGGCCCGCGUUGGAUUAGGUAGUUGGUGUGGUAAAGGCGCACCAAGCCUACGAUCCAUAGCUGGUCUGAGAGGAUGAUCAGCCACACUGGGACUGAGACACGGCCCAGACUCCUACGGGAGGCAGCAGUGGGGAAUCUUGCGCAAUGGGCGAAAGCCUGACGCAGCCAUGCCGCGUGAAUGAUGAAGGUCUUAGGAUUGUAAAAUUCUUUUACCAGGGACGAUAAUGACGGUACCUGGAGAAAAAGCCCCGGCUAACUUCGUGCCAGCCGCCGCGGUAA
RNAcentral lists this ribosomal RNA (449 nucleotides) under uncultured bacterium. RNAcentral's name for it is "partial 16S ribosomal RNA". It matches the Rfam family "Bacterial small subunit ribosomal RNA", at positions 29 to 523 of the family's 1533-position model. The record is from RNAcentral.